RNAcentral lists this ribosomal RNA (472 nucleotides) under Theileria mutans. RNAcentral's name for it is "SSU rRNA". It matches the Rfam family "Eukaryotic small subunit ribosomal RNA", at positions 486 to 1002 of the family's 1831-position model. Lineage: Eukaryota; Apicomplexa; Aconoidasida; Piroplasmida; Theileriidae. The record is from RNAcentral.
CGGGGCUCAACGCCUUGUAAUUGGAAUGAUGGGAACCUAAACCCCUUCCAGAGUAUCAAUUGGAGGGCAAGUCUGGUGCCAGCAGCCGCGGUAAUUCCAGCUCCAAUAGCGUAUAUUAAAAUUGUUGCAGUUAAAAAGCUCGUAGUUGAAUUUCUGCCGCAUCGCGGCGGCCCUCCCGGGCCCAGCGUUGCGGCUUAUUUCGGACUCGCUUGCGUCUCCGAAUGUUUACUUUGAGAAAAUUAGAGUGCUCAAAGCAGGCCCUUGCCUUGAAUACUUUAGCAUGGAAUAAUAAAGUAGGACUUUGGUUCUAUUUUGUUGGUUUAGCGCCAAAGUAAUGGUUAAUAGGAACAGUUGGGGGCAUUCGUAUUUAACUGUCAGAGGUGAAAUUCUUAGAUUUGUUAAAGACGAACCACUGCGAAAGCAUUUGCCAAGGAUGUUUUCAUUAAUCAAGAACGAAAGUUAGGGGAUCGAA